This 253-nucleotide ribosomal RNA is filed under the name uncultured prokaryote. RNAcentral describes it as "partial 16S ribosomal RNA". It matches the Rfam family "Bacterial small subunit ribosomal RNA", at positions 524 to 776 of the family's 1533-position model. The record is from RNAcentral.
UACGUAGGCAGCGAGCGUUGUUCGGAGUUACUGGGCGUAAAGGGUGUGUAGGCGGUUUUCUAAGUUUGGUGUGAAAUCUCCCGGGUUAACUGGGAGGGUGCGCUAUAGACUGUGGGACUAGAGUGUGGGAGAGGAAAGUGGAAUUCCUGGUGUAGCGGUGAAAUGCGUAGAUAUCAGGAGGAACACCGGUGGUGUAAACGGCUUUCUGGACCAUAACUGACGCUGAGGCACGAAAGCGUGGGUAGCAGACAGG